AGAUUAAGUGGAACAGUGUAGUCAUAUGCGCAAAAGAAUGUAGCCAUACUGUUAUAGAGGGGGGUGAAGCCUCAGUAUCUUCUUCUUCUAUGCAGAAGUGAGCAAAGCCCAAUAAUCUUACCGAUAUUUGAAAGUAUGUAUGUGGAUUUUCAAGACACGGUGCAGGCUUUGCAUCAUUCCAAGUAUAAGGCAAGAUACACUUGGUUCAGUCUGUGGGCAGUGAUGUCAGCAAAUCAUUGGAAGAGUUCAGGGAGGGGCUAUUUUAGUUACGACCUGAGGCACAACAAGCAGGAGGAGUUGGCCAACUGGAGUGCUAGAUUCAGGGCAAGUUUGCCUAAGCACUUUUAUUAGUUCCGUUGAUAAUACCAGGACUGGAGAACUGAAAGCCCUUGUAGAUGCAAGAGGAACAAGAUUGACAAAGGCCUUUUGCAUUGCACUCUUGAUAAAGCUUCAAGCUCAAGGCCUUCGAUAUUUGUGAAGUUUUCCAGGAAGAAGAUUGACUGUAGCAUCUUGGAGUGCACUAAUAUUAAUAAAUAAACCCUUCAAUAUUUUUGUUGCCCAAAGGCUACAAGUUCUGUAAUUUACCCAAAUAAUUAGCAUUUUCACUACCCAAAUAUGAGUGUAAUGUUUCAGAUCAUAUAUUCCCAGUAUUAUUAAGACAUCAUGUAUGUGAAGUUA
Non-coding RNA from Triticum urartu, 678 nucleotides. Lineage: Eukaryota; Viridiplantae; Streptophyta; Magnoliopsida; Poales; Poaceae. The record is from RefSeq and is a predicted model, not a curated record.